Non-coding RNA from Pelobates cultripes (western spadefoot toad), 207 nucleotides. The record is from the annotation of a GenBank genome assembly. Lineage: Eukaryota; Metazoa; Chordata; Amphibia; Anura; Pelobatidae.
CUAUAAUCCCCAAAACAAACCCACAAUCAUAAAAGCUAAACCUGUUAAUGUCCUAUAACCAUACCCCCCAAAUAUAAUAGCUACUUUGAGCUUGUUUCCAUGCUAGUUGCAAUAAUUUAGCGAGAAGUCAUUAAUCGCUAAAAUGGUUGUCACUAUUUCUAGCGUUUGCCAGUAAUUUCCAUGCCACAAAUUGUUAUUGUGACAGGU